This 497-nucleotide ribosomal RNA is filed under the name uncultured bacterium. RNAcentral's name for it is "partial 16S ribosomal RNA". It matches the Rfam family "Bacterial small subunit ribosomal RNA", at positions 28 to 507 of the family's 1533-position model. The record is from RNAcentral.
GAUGAACGCUGGCGGCGUGCCUAAUACAUGCAAGUCGAGCGAACGGACGAGAAGCUUGCUUCUCUGAUGCUAGCGGCGGACGGGUGAGUAACACGUGGAUAACCUACCUAUAAGACUGGGAUAACUUCGGGAAACCGGAGCUAAUACCGGAUGAUCUUUUGAACCGCAUGGUUCAAAAGUGAAAGACGGUCUUGCUGUCACUUAUCGAUGGAUCCGCGCUGCAUUAGCUAGUUGGUAAGGUAACGGCUUACCAAGGCAACGAUGCAUAGCCGACCUGAGAGGGUGAUCGGCCACACUGGAACUGAGACACGGUCCAGACUCCUACGGGAGGCAGCAGUAGGGAAUCUUCCGCAAUGGGCGAAAGCCUGACGGAGCAACGCCGCGUGAGUGAUGAAGGUCUUCGGAUCGUAAAACUCUGUUAUUAGGGAAGAACAUAUGUGUAAGUAACUGUGCACAUCUUGACGGUACCUAAUCAGAAAGCAACGGCUAACUACGUG